GCCCGGGUGGCGAAACUGGUAGACGCAUGGGACUUAAAAUCCCCCGGCCGCAAGGCCAUGUGGGUUCGAUCCCCACCCCGGGCACCA
RNAcentral lists this transfer RNA (87 nucleotides) under Arenimonas oryziterrae DSM 21050 = YC6267. RNAcentral describes it as "tRNA-Leu". It matches the Rfam family "tRNA". Rfam says of the family: Transfer RNA (tRNA) molecules are approximately 80 nucleotides in length. Their secondary structure includes four short double-helical elements and three loops (D, anti-codon, and T loops). The record is from RNAcentral. RNAcentral also lists the same sequence under 3 other names. Lineage: Bacteria; Pseudomonadati; Pseudomonadota; Gammaproteobacteria; Lysobacterales; Lysobacteraceae.